CCUACGGGUGGCAGCAGUGAGGAAUAUUGGGCAAUGGAGGCAACUCUGACCCAGCCAUGCCGCGUGAGUGAAGAAGGUUUUCGGAUUGUAAAGCUCUUUCGGAUGGGACGAUGAUGAUGGUAGCAUCUAAAGAAGCUCCGGCUAACUUCGUGCCAGCAGCCGCGGUGAUACGACGGGUGCAAGCGUUGUUCGGAAUUACUGGGGGUAAAGGGAGUGUAGGCGGUUGAGUAAGAUAGUGGUGAAGUCCCAGAGCUUAACUUUGGAAUUGCCAUUAUAACUAUUAGACUAGAAUUAAAGAGAGGAUAGUGGAAUACCCAGUGUAGCGGUGAAAUGCGUAGAUAUUGGGUAGAACACCAGUGGCGAAGGCGACUAACUGGAUGUACACUGACGCUGAGGCUCGAAAGCAUGGGGAUCAAACAGGAUUAGAUACCCGGGUAGUC
This 440-nucleotide ribosomal RNA is filed under the name uncultured bacterium. Its description in RNAcentral is "partial 16S ribosomal RNA". It matches the Rfam family "Bacterial small subunit ribosomal RNA", at positions 338 to 795 of the family's 1533-position model. The record is from RNAcentral.